GAUGAACGCUGGCGGCGUGCUUAACACAUGCAAGUCGAACGGUGAAGCAGGAGCUUGCUCUUGUGGAUCAGUGGCGAACGGGUGAGUAACACGUGAGCAACCUGCCCCUGACUCUGGGAUAAGCGCUGGAAACGACGUCUAAUACUGGAUAUGUGAUGUGACCGCAUGGUCUGCAUCUGGAAAGAAUUUCGGUUGGGGAUGGGCUCGCGGCCUAUCAGCUUGUAGGUGAGGUAAUGGCUCACCAAGGCGUCGACGGGUAGCCGGCCUGAGAGGGUGACCGGCCACACUGGGACUGAGACACGGCCCAGACUCCUACGGGAGGCAGCAGUGGGGAAUAUUGCACAAUGGGCGGAAGCCUGAUGCAGCAACGCCGCGUGAGGGAUGACGGCCUUCGGGUUGUAAACCUCUUUUAGCAGGGAAGAAGCGAAAGUGACGGUACCUGCAGAAAAAGCACCGGCUAACUACGUGCCAGCAGCCGCAGUAA
RNAcentral lists this ribosomal RNA (484 nucleotides) under uncultured bacterium. Its description in RNAcentral is "partial 16S ribosomal RNA". It matches the Rfam family "Bacterial small subunit ribosomal RNA", at positions 28 to 523 of the family's 1533-position model. The record is from RNAcentral.